This is an RNA transcript of Cercocebus atys (sooty mangabey), 674 nucleotides long. RefSeq lists it as uncharacterized. The transcript has 2 exons. NCBI's taxonomy places the organism in Eukaryota, Metazoa, Chordata, Mammalia, Primates, Cercopithecidae. The record is from RefSeq and is a predicted model, not a curated record.
AUGUUAACUAAUGUUGUAAGGCCUUAACAAGAAAUGUUGUGGGGGUUCAGGAAAGGGGAAGGUGGGGUCGUCCAAAGGCUGGGAAAGUCUUCAGUUGAAGGCGAGGCAGAUGGGACUAUUAGUGAGUUUCAAGAGGACCAACGCCUUGCCGGCUGCGCGGGGCGUGCCCCACCGCCUUGGCCUCAUUUUUGCCCUGCGCCCCACACUUGAACGCGCGGCGCCUUUUGACCCCGCCGCCGCGCCGUAGACCGCGCUGCACGCCGGCUACCGCCAUGGCGGAGGUGUCGGAGAGGACGCUGCAGUUGUCCGUGCUAGUAGCCUUCGCAUCUGGAGUACUCUUGGGCUGGCAGGCGAACCGACUGCGGAGGCGCUACUUGGACUGGAGGAAACGGAGGCUGCAGGACAAGCUGGCGGCGACGCAGAAGAAGCUGGACCUGGCCUGAGACUCCGCGCCUUCCGCCCUAUUCGAUCCACCACAUGGCCACCUUGCCCUGUCCUCACCGGAGCUCCGGUCCGGCGGUGGCCAGAGCCAGGCUUGUCACACAGUCCCCGCCUGCCAUGGCCGGCUCGUCCUGGAGUGUUGCUUGUUGAAGAUGCAUAUAGACUACUGGAAAGAAACGACUUCUUGCACUUUAUGAAUCAAUUUUAUUUUUAAAAUAAAAAAAUUAAACAUC